This 1110-nucleotide ribosomal RNA is filed under the name uncultured organism. Its description in RNAcentral is "bacterial SSU rRNA". It matches the Rfam family "Bacterial small subunit ribosomal RNA", at positions 81 to 1168 of the family's 1533-position model. The record is from RNAcentral.
ACACCUAAUGGAGAGUGGCGAAAGGGUGAGUAACACGUGGGUAACCUGCGUUAUGGUUUGGGAUAACCCGCCGAAAGGUGGGCUAAUACCGAAUAAGACUACAGAUGCUUCGGUAUCAGUAGUAAAAGAUGGCCUCUUCUUGAAAGCUAUCACCUAAAGAUGGGCCCGCGGCGUAUUAGCUUGUUGGUAGGGUAAUGGCCUACCAAGGCAACGAUGCGUAGUUGGUCUGAGAGGAUGAUCAGCCACACUGGGACUGAGACACUGCCCAGACACCUACGGGUGGCUGCAGUCGAGAAUCUUUCGCAAUGGGGGAAACCCUGACGAAGCGACGCCGCGUGAGCGAUGAAGGUCUUCGGAUUGUAAAGCUCUGUCACAAGGGACGAAAAGUUAGUGGGUGAAUAAUCCACUGAUCUGACGGUACCUUGAGAGGAAGCCCCGGCUAACUCCGUGCCAGCAGCCGCGGUAAUACGGAGGGGGCAAGCGUUGUUCGGAUUUACUGGGUGUAAAGGGUGUGUAGGCGGUUUGGCAAGUUAGAUGUGAAAUCUCGAGGCUCAACUUCGAAACUGCAUUUAAUACUGCCAGGCUAGAGUACGAAAGAGGGAGAUGGAAUUCUGGGUGUAAGAGUGAAAUCUGCAGAUAUCCAGAGGAACACCAGUUGCGAAGGCGAUCUCCUGGGUCGAUACUGACGCUGAGGCACGAAAGCUAGGGGAGCGAACGGGAUUAGAUACCCCGGUAGUCCUAGCCGUAAACGUUGUAGACUAGGUGUUGGCAGUAUCGACCCUGUUAGUGCCGAAGUAAACGCGUUAAGUCUACCGCCUGGGGAGUAUGCCCGCAAGGGUGAAACUCAAAGGAAUUGACGGGGGCCCGCACAAGCGGUGGAGUAUGUUGCUUAAUUCGACGCUACGCGAAGAACCUUACCAGGGUUUGACAUGUACCGGAUCGCCUGUGAAAGCAGGUUUCCCUUCGGGGCUGGUAUACAGGUGCUGCAUGGCUGUCGUCAGCUCGUGUCGUGAGAUGUUGGGUUAAGUCCCGCAACGAGCGUAACCCUUAUCCUUUGUUGCCAUCAGUUCGGCUGGGCACUCGAAGGAAACUGCCGGUGACAAACCGGAG